Molecule: small nuclear RNA, 186 nt
Filed under: Lottia gigantea (owl limpet)
Lineage: Eukaryota; Metazoa; Mollusca; Gastropoda; Lottiidae
Description: U2 spliceosomal RNA
Rfam family: U2 spliceosomal RNA
About the family: U2 is a small nuclear RNA (snRNA) component of the spliceosome (involved in pre-mRNA splicing). Complementary binding between U2 snRNA (in an area lying towards the 5' end but 3' to hairpin I) and the branchpoint sequence (BPS) of the intron results the bulging out of an unpaired adenosine, on the BPS, which initiates a nucleophilic attack at the intronic 5' splice site, thus starting the first of two transesterification reactions that mediate splicing.
Source: Rfam by way of RNAcentral
AUUGCUUCUCGGCCUUUUGGCUAAGAUCAAAGUGUAGUAUCUGUUCUUGUUACGCUUGGGUUUUAGUUAAAAAUUAGAGUACUAGUAUCCGGCAUUUAUGCGUUUGCGAGAACGGCUCUAUUUAGUGCAACUAGUGGGCAUCGAGCUUUAGAAUUUCACUUCUAUUCCUGUUCCGGUGGAAAAGGU